AAGGUCAGCAGUGGCCAGCCUCUCUCAUGCCUUCCUUCUCUUCCUCCCUAGGUGGUUGCAAACCCUGAUCCACAUAGUAAAAUGCAACAUCGACUUGCGGCUCCUGAGGCUGCCCCACUCAUGAAGAAUGUGGGCAUCUUGCUGGUCGCUGUCAGCCUGUUGGUGACAGGCCUCCUGGCCGUGCGCUCUGUGGGUGUCCUGGUGAAAUGUACCUGCCACUUUCACCACAGACUCAACAAGCCCUUGAUGAACUAUGGAGGCACUGCAAUGCAGUGCUAGAGGCCAGCCCCCAUGCCUGGCUCCAUGACCACGCCCACUGGGGGAGGUAACUUGUCCUCUCCUUGUUUGGGAUGGGGAAGGAUGAUGGAUCCCGUCGAGGUCCCACAAAUCCUGUAGUCCAAUGUUGGUAUCUGUCCCUCUGGAAAUACAGUUCUAAUUAAUAUUAAUACUUUCAGGUAUCCUAAAGAGUUGUUCUCAAAGUUAGUCCCCAGUCCAGCUGCAUCAGUACCACCUGGGAACUUAUUAGAAAUGCAAAUAUUUCAACCCCACCCAGACAUACUGAUCAGAAACCGCGGAUGGGGCCCAGAAAUCUGUAUUUUAACAAGACAUCCAGAUGAUUCUAAUUCACACAAAAGUUUGAGAACCACUG
Molecule: long non-coding RNA, 649 nt
Filed under: Macaca mulatta (Rhesus monkey)
Lineage: Eukaryota; Metazoa; Chordata; Mammalia; Primates; Cercopithecidae
Description: lncRNA (ENSMMUG00000053656.1)
Source: RNAcentral